CAUAGAGGGUGAGAAUCCCGUAUUUGACCAUUAUUUUCAGCUGUGUGAUACACUUUCAAAGAGUCGGAUUGUUUGGGAAUGCAGUCCAAAAUGGGUGGUAAAUUUCAUCUAAAGCUAAAUAUUGGCGAGAGACCGAUAGCGAACAAGUACCGUGAGGGAAAGAUGAAAAGAACUUUGAAAAGAGAGUUAAACAGUACGUGAAAUUGUCAAAAGGGAAGCGUUUGACACCAGUGUUGUUUUUCCGAAAAUCAAUUAAGAAGGGCUUGAUUUUGUGUUGUAUUGACCUUAUCAGCUUUCUUCACUCUUUUUCGAGUCUUUCUUAAUGCACUUUUCGGUUAACAAGUCAACAUCAAUUUCUUUUGUUGUAAAAGGGUAUUUGGAAGGUGGCUUUCUUUUCGGAGAAAGUGUUUAUAGCCUUAUACCUCUACAAUCGGAGAGACUGAGGUCUGCAGCGUAGAUCCUUCGGGGUUAGAUACAUUUGUGCUAAGUUAUAGCUUUUCAUAGACAACUUGUUGACUAUGUUUAGUCAUGUAGCUUACUCGCUUAUGCUAUUUUACCUACGCUUAGGAUGUUGAA
This 576-nucleotide ribosomal RNA is filed under the name uncultured Neocallimastigomycetes. Its description in RNAcentral is "partial large subunit ribosomal RNA". It matches the Rfam family "Eukaryotic large subunit ribosomal RNA", at positions 204 to 630 of the family's 3401-position model. The record is from RNAcentral. Lineage: Eukaryota; Fungi; Neocallimastigomycota; Neocallimastigomycetes.